Molecule: long non-coding RNA, 1454 nt
Organism: Poecile atricapillus (Black-capped chickadee)
Lineage: Eukaryota; Metazoa; Chordata; Aves; Passeriformes; Paridae
Exons: 4
Source: RefSeq, a predicted model, not a curated record
ACUCCCGGUGAAGCCCGGGGGGUGUGUUGUGUGCGAGGUGUCACUGUGCCGCCGCCGCUCUUCAAACUUCCCAACCGCGGCGGCGAAACGAAACCGAGAGGCGUCCCGGGAGGCUGCCCGGCCGGCCGCCGCCCGCCCCGGCCCCGGCCUCUGCCCCCGGACGGGCAGCGGGCAUCGCACCCCCGCCCGGCUCUCUCAUCCCGGCCACCGAGGCGGGGUGGGGCGGGGCGCGGGUAGGAUCGCCCGAGAGCGCGGUUUAGGGUGGACUUUGUCCCGAGCGGGUCGGGCUUUCAAAGGGAAGCGGCCAUUAAGCGCUGCCCGCCCGGCCGCCCGCGGCAGCGCCCCCGUCCCGGCGGGGCCGCGCUCCCCCGGCACCGCACCGGCACCGCCGCUGCCGUGUUUGUAAGCGAUGCGUUCGAAUUCGUGAUACAAACCGAAACAAACUCAUUCCAAGAAAUCAUUCACUAACCCUCAGCAUGCUGAAAUACCAAGAGCACGUGGAUUUUGGAGCAGCAUUAAGGACUCCCAUUUCCAUCUUUGACGGCUCAGCAGAAUGUUCCUCUUCUUAUAUGGAGAGACACAGCUAUCGUAGCACCAGCAAUUUCUGACCUUUGUCCUUACUAAAUGGAAGGCAUCAUAUCUAAGAAUGAAGUCACACCCCCGCCGAAAGUAUCAGCUGAAAAAAAAAAAUACGGCAACUCAUCUGCUUAGCAACACGGGCGGCCACCACCAUCACUUCCUCCUCAAAUACAAAGUUCAGUGCACGGGCUCCACCCUGACUCAGAGCCGCCUGUAAAAUUGGAUCUCACUCACUGAGAGGUCACGUCUCCUCGCUGUGAACAGGACUUUCCACAGCAGCAAUAUUUCAUGGGAACUUCCCUACACACAGGCAGGGACGGAGGGAGGGAGGGAGGGAGGAAACGCCACCGCAGUCACGGAGUUCACCUGCCGAGGAGGCAAGGGACUGUCUUUCACAUUCCCAUUCGUCUGUCCUUCCAGACAGAUUUUUCAGAGCAGCACAGACCAUGAAACCAAGGACAAUGUGGCAGCUGGGAGCUUACUGGCACUCAGUAAGUGUAAGUGUAAGUGUAAGGAGUCAUCUUUACAUUGUUCUUGAUGACUUACAUAUGCCACCUAUUGAUAAAUCCUAAGAGAGCAUUUUGCAGGAGCACUGCACUGUCCACUGCAAUUUUGUUAGUGAUGCUCUACAAACUCUCUAUAACCAUCUACCCUGACUUCUCCAUGAAACUGAUGAUUUAUAUUUUCUGUAUGAAGUUAAUUUUGAUUUCUGUACUGAUCAUCUGAAGUGGUCACUCCUAGCUUGGUGCAAUAAGACAUUUCAUAAAUGUAUUCUGCAUUACACCAGUCCAGUUUAUUCUUUGUCUUUUUUUACACUGGCUUUAUCAUGGUACUAUCCUGAUGCCUUACAGCAGAGUAAUUUGUGCCAUUUCUUC